GUGUCAGCCGCCGCGGUAAUACGAAGGGGGCUAGCGUUGUUCGGAAUCACUGGGCGUAAAGGGCGCGUAGGCGGCUUUAUAAGUCGGGGGUGAAAGCCUGUGGCUCAACCACAGAAUUGCCUUCGAUACUGUAUGGCUUGAGACCGGAAGAGGUAAGUGGAACUGCGAGUGUAGAGGUGAAAUUCGUAGAUAUUCGCAAGAACACCAGUGGCGAAGGCGGCUUACUGGUCCGGUUCUGACGCUGAGGCGCGAAAGCGUGGGGAGCAAACAGGAUUAGAAACCCUAGUAGUCC
Molecule: ribosomal RNA, 292 nt
Filed under: uncultured Microvirga sp.
Lineage: Bacteria; Pseudomonadati; Pseudomonadota; Alphaproteobacteria; Hyphomicrobiales; Methylobacteriaceae
Description: partial 16S ribosomal RNA
Rfam family: Bacterial small subunit ribosomal RNA
Source: RNAcentral